UUCCCUGAAUUACAGAUUUUAACCACCACUCCUCCAUGAACUGCCCCCUUGGUGGAGGACUGAGAGUUUUUCUAGUUAGGCCUAAUAUCUUAUAAUCAUCAAUUAUAUGCCUAGUGCACUGAUUAGAGCAAAUAAAUCUCAUGUUGCCCUCUAUGCUCAGGACCACUACCUACUUCUGACAGCUGAGUCCACCUAAAAAACCAGUGGCUAAAAAGACUGAAUCUAAUGUAAUAUAACAGAAACAAACAUUUAAAAACCAGGCAAAAUGUGCAACAAUUAAAAGAUAACAAAAUAACUGCUAUAAUGUUACUUAACAUAAGGUUUGAAAAUCCAUUGUUUUACUCAAAGUGGUCCUCUGCUGGUCCUCUCUUGGGGGUUUGCAGGUCAAAGGGGAUGGGUGUUUAUAACUCUCUAGGUGUGGUUAAUAGGGUGGCAGGUGAUGAUUAAGUCUGGGUAUUUUAACUUUUGAUUUAACGAUAAGGAAUAUUGUUUUAUUCUGUUUGUCUGAUAAUGUCCCAUUUUUAUCAGAUACUGAAUGAUGUAUUGGCUGUGGUGGUGAUAAGGGAGAGCUGACAAACUGGACAUUGCAACGAAUCUAUCGUUAGAGAUUUCGUCGGGCCCAUUUCCCGGUUUGAAUCAUUUAUCAGCCAUGUAUUUGUACAGUUUUGCGCGGAAACCAUGUGUUUAAAAUUCUUGUCAAAAUUAACACCGUACUAUAUCGCUGGUAUUAUUAAGGGAAAUACAGCCUUAAGAAUCUUGCAAAGGCAUCAAACAUUUCUGUAAGAGGAAAGAUGUUAUCAACGGUGUCAGUGACCGAUCAUACCCAAAUGCAUGAUCCGUUCUGCACAUGCGCAGAACUACGUAGGCGGAAACACAGCUUAUUCCUGCUGCCCAGUAUCACACAUGAACAAAACACACUGAGAUCCGUCUUGCAUAUAAGUACAUGUGUAUGUCGCUUCUGUAAAGACUUUAGACCCAUUAUAUCUCUAAAUAUGUGUGUUGCUAUACCUGUGCCAAUAGCAAAAAAAAAAAAAAAAAACAGGACAGCAUUACCAGUUUCACUAAAUGAGCUAACCAUAGCUAGCUGUUGCAAUCCGUAACAUAAUCAUACACCAACACAGUGUUUAGACAUACACCUUUGUUGACAAACAUUACACCAUAUUCCAUCAUUAUAAGAGCCAGAGAACGCAAUCCAGAAUCUGUCUUUGAAGUCGGUGCAUUAUUGAUCAAGUGUGACCGGCAAUCGCUACCAGACUCCAUUGACAAAAACAGUAAUUUUACAAGGUAGAACACAGGAGUUGUUGGUAUACCACUGCACCUAUCUGUUAGUUUGUCAGUGUUAUUGUGUGACUUUCAGUGGUGGAAGAAGUAUUCAGAUCAUUUACAUAACAAAUUAACAGAUCGAGGGAGCGGCGUUAGUGUGUUCUCAUUAGUUAAAUUACUGUUUUUGUCAAUGGAGUCUGGUUGAGAUGAAAAGCUGUUUAUGAUUAAUUAAAAAAAGUUGUGCCUCUGUAUGAAUCCCAUUCGUAAUGUCGUCAGAUAAUUAUAAUAACACCCUGAGCCUCUCAGUGACUAAACCAACUACUUUAGUAGAUAUACUUUGAUGUGGAGGUAUGCAUCGUUUGUUUACAUUGCAUCAGCUGUUCGCGGUGUCCGAGCACACCGUUCUUGAUCAAUACUGCACCGACUUGUCCCUUGUCUCUAGCAAUUAUUUACACCCCAAACCAUCACCCUGAUGCAAAAAUGUUAUCCCUUUUAACAUCUAAACAUAUGUUAAGCGAAAGUUUGGUUUUACUUCCGCUGUUUCAUUCGCAGAGUGGUCAAUUAAAUUGGCUCCAUGACUCCAUGGAUUUAUUAUUAGAGCAUGCUCGACUCUCAUAUUAACAUUUACCACGACUCUGAUAUAUCUAAACAGACGUCUUUUAAAGAGUUCAGUCAUGCUGACUACUUUAAAUAAAUUACACUAGAUCAUAACGUUUGUGCUUUAUUGUUGUUUAAAUGUAGGGUAUUAUGUAGCGAUUUAAAUCAUAAGCCUGCACAUGCGUGGAAGAGAUCGGGCAGUGUGGUAAAACAAUUUCAGUUCUACGCAUGCGCUGAUUUUGGCGCACGUGCAGAACGGAUCGUGCUUCCGGGUACGGAUCGAGCACAUGAUUCACAGUGGGAAAAGACUUAAACCAAGUUUGAAACGUUGCCUCGGUUUGUCAGUACUGUGAGGAUAUGUCUUUGCCGCAUAGGUCUGGAUGCUAAAACAAACUCCGGAGCUGCUUUUUGUCGUACACGAGUCAAAAUGGACGCUAAACACACCUGCGGCGCGAAGGUUUACUCGCUCAGCUGCUGCAACCUGGACAGAAACACCAGCUCUCACCUUAUCAACCAAACAGAAUUCAAACUUCAACCAUUAAAUCACAGAGAGAAGAGACAGACGUGGACAUUUCCAGAAGGUUUUCAGCUGCUGUCGUCGUCCUCCUGCAGAAACAAGAACACGCAUUAAUCACAGACACUGAUCAGUAAAUCUAAAUAUUUUAAUGACAUACUAUUCUCUGACAUUUUUUGAUAUUACUAUACUAUGACAGUUUUUACUAUAUUAUGACAUGCGGCUUAAGACAAAGAAACUCUCUUAAAGUAGCUAUCUUACCUUUGUUUUCCACAGUUUUUAUGGGUUAGGUUAGAUUUUCAUUUUGGUAUUUUGCCAGUGAGAUAUCAGUACUCAAAUCCAAUCUAUUACUGUCUACAUAUUCCUGUUUAUACUGUUCUUACUGUAUAUGGUUAUAUCUUCUCUUGUACCCUUUUUUUGUUGUUGGACUGAUGGAGGGUUAUCUUACUCAAAUAAAUACCUCUGAACACUGAA
Long non-coding RNA from Lates calcarifer (barramundi perch), 2848 nucleotides. RefSeq lists it as uncharacterized. The transcript is spliced from 4 exons. The record is from RefSeq and is a predicted model, not a curated record. NCBI's taxonomy places the organism in Eukaryota, Metazoa, Chordata, Actinopteri, Centropomidae.